GACGAACGCUGGCGGCGUGCCUAACACAUGCAAGUCGAGCGGGGUUGAAGCGAGGGGUAACUCGAGUUUCUACCUAGCGGCGGACGGGUGAGUAACGCGUGGGCAACCUGCCUCAAGGACUGGGAUAACAGCUCGAAAGGGCUGCUAAUACCGGAUAAGCCUAUGGCCUCGCAUGGGGCCAUGAGCAAAGGGGAAACCCGCCUUGAGAUGGGCCCGCGUCCCAUCAGCUAGUUGGUGAGGUGAAGGCUCACCAAGGCGACGACGGGUAGCCGGCCUGAGAGGGUGACCGGCCACACUGGGACUGAGACACGGCCCAGACUCCUACGGGGGGCAGCAGUGGGGAAUCUUGCACAAUGGGCGAAAGCCUGAUGCAGCGACGCCGCGUGAGCGAAGAAGGCCUUCGGGUUGUAAAGGCUCUGUCUGGAGGGACGAAGGAAGUGACGGUACCGUCCGGAGGAAGCCACGGCUAACUACGUGCCAGCAGCCGCGGUAAACGUAGCGUG
RNAcentral lists this ribosomal RNA (503 nucleotides) under uncultured bacterium. Its description in RNAcentral is "bacterial SSU rRNA". It matches the Rfam family "Bacterial small subunit ribosomal RNA", at positions 28 to 533 of the family's 1533-position model. The record is from RNAcentral.